Mobula hypostoma (lesser devil ray) is the source of this 276-nucleotide long non-coding RNA. RefSeq lists it as uncharacterized. The record is from RefSeq and is a predicted model, not a curated record. The transcript is spliced from 3 exons. Lineage: Eukaryota; Metazoa; Chordata; Chondrichthyes; Myliobatiformes; Myliobatidae.
GCUCAACUGAAACCUCACAGAAAGGGCAAGCAGACUAGUCUUCUACUCUUAGAGACACCAAAGCAAUGCUGAAUGUUGAUACCCUAGCAAGCAGCGAGGUCUCUGAAUCUGAGAAACAGGAAUCAGGGAAAGCAGCAAUAUGCCUUUAGCCAUACAGAAGAACAGAGUGUAACUCAUUACUACAAAUCUGGACGAGGUGAUUAAGUUAAUCACUUUAAGGGCAUCACAGGAAGCUAGAAAGAAAAGUUUGUGUGGAGAGACUCGAAUUGAACAAAA